Molecule: long non-coding RNA, 427 nt
Organism: Mus caroli (Ryukyu mouse)
Lineage: Eukaryota; Metazoa; Chordata; Mammalia; Rodentia; Muridae
Source: RefSeq, a predicted model, not a curated record
AGCAUGAAGCAUUGUGACGGACUUUACUCUCCAGUGUUUCCAGCGUGGUGAGCUGCGGAAGUACAUAAGGAGAGGCCAUCUGAAACACAUCUUUGCCUUUAUUAUGGUCUCUUAAAAUGUGAUUUGGGGAAUAUAAUUUCAUUGCGAGCUUCCUUCGCAAGCAGAAAGCCAUAGGAUUCCUUUAAAAUCAGAACCAAAGGAGGACCAAAACCUUGUUGCUGCGUAAAGGGCCCACUUCCAGCCUCCUGCCACACUCUGGGGCUAAGUCAUCAAGCAGACACUGAAGUGGGACAGCAUCUUCAACAGGUUUCUGUAAGAAAUGUUGAACUGGGUAUGGCAGCAUAUGCUUGCAAUUUUAAUUCCUGGGAGGUAGGAGAUGAGGAGAUCAGAAGUUCAAGGUCAGCAUUGACUGUGUAACAAGUUUGAG